This 624-nucleotide long non-coding RNA is filed under the name Musa acuminata (dwarf banana). Its description in RNAcentral is "long non-coding RNA (MACU_LNC007088)". Lineage: Eukaryota; Viridiplantae; Streptophyta; Magnoliopsida; Zingiberales; Musaceae. The record is from RNAcentral.
AAAAGUGUUAGACGAUCUCUCUUAUUUGGAAUUUCGAAAUGUCAAGUCUAGUUUACGAUGAUAUGAACUUGUGGUAAAUGGUUGGAGUUCUGAUUGUAUAAAUUACUUAGCUUGUGGAUUUAUAAAUGUUGUUCAUAUUUGUUAAGUUGGCUUGGGUUGUCAUAAAUGUGAAUUAUCGAGUGAUGUGAUAUAUGAUUAUAAAAUACACAGGUUUCAUAGAUGUGAAUUUGAUAGAAUGUUUUUUCAGUGUCCUCAAAUGUUAGUUUGGAUCUUGGAUUGAUUUAUGAUGAAAAUUUUAAUAUUAUCGAUAUUUUUGAGGGGCGUGACAAAGGUGGUAUCAGAGCAUGGUUUGAGGAUUACUGAAAUAUUUGAUAUGUUGACGUGCAAAAUAUAUUGAGGUCUAAUGAACUAUAAUGAUUGGUGGAAAUUUUUUUGAUGCAUUUUAGGAAUCUAGGAUGAUGAGGACAUUUGGGUCGUCCUGUUUCAUUUGUUUCUGAUUAAUUAAGGUGGAUGAAAGGGUUGAUUAAUUAAGGUGGAUGAUUGAGGUCUAACUUGCCGCUCGCUCGCGCAGCCAAAUAUGGCUAGUUUUGGCUCAUUUUUGGGCUGUUUUGGCUUGUUUUCGGG